This 2396-nucleotide unclassified non-coding RNA is filed under the name Eurytemora carolleeae. Its description in RNAcentral is "a disintegrin and metalloproteinase with thrombospondin motifs 18". Lineage: Eukaryota; Metazoa; Arthropoda; Copepoda; Calanoida; Temoridae. The record is from RNAcentral.
UCAGAUAACGAGCUGUGAUAUAGAUGGUAGAUGUUUAAAAGUGAAAUGUGACAUGUUACAAGACCCUAUUCUAGUUCUGCAGGGACCAAAGGGGGGACCAAGGGGCCACCCGCCCCGCCCCGCCACGGGCACCAGUACACCAGUACAAUACGAGGCAGGAAGGUGCAGUACUGUACACGGAACUCAAGAAAACGACGACAUUAAAGGAUUCAACGAGAAGUUGGAAAACAAAGACGAUUCCUUCAAUAUUCUGGAUUUUUACUAACAUAGGUAAGCGAUGUGGACAACUGGUCAGGGCUGGAGGCGUGGCAGAAUAUUAGGGCGUGGCAGUUUGUUACAAAUUGCCCUCCUACUUCUUCUUCACAACAUCAGAGCAGACAACAGUCGACAACAAAAGAUUCAUGAGUUGAUGAGCAAAGAGGAGUUGGCCAGUGUUUUUCAAGUCACAGAGCAUCACUUAGUGCCUGAAUAUGAGGUGGUUCAUGUUCACUCAAGAAAACAGAAAAGAGACACUGAUCCAGUUCAUCAGGUCUCACUCCGUGUAUUUGGUCGGGACCUGGAGCUUGAGCUGAGACGAAACCUGAACCUCGUUCCGGAGAACAGAAACCUCGACCUCUUCUUCGCAGAGAACGACAAGGACGACAUCAGCUACGUCAUCGACGAUCAGAUUGAAUCAGCUGAUUUGGGUUCCGUUUAUCAGGAUGUCAGAACACAAGCAGCACUCCUCCUUUAUAAACAAGAGGCAGGAGAACAGCAUUAUAUGGACGGGACAAUUGGUGAUGAUCUUGUCGUGAAACCAGCACCACCUAGCGUUAAAAACUACAUGUACAACUCACCACUAACGUCAGAGCCUCCCUCUCAUUGGUCCAAUCAUGACGAGAAGACCUCCCAUUGGUCAGACCCAGAUAUUCAUUCAGAUAGAAAUAUUUCCAAACCAAAUUACCUAGAAGAAGAGGAAGAAGACCUACCUGAAGAUUAUGCUUUCUUAGAUGAGGAUGAUGACGUGAAGGCCUACAACAGACUGGACCGAAGAUUUCGGCGGGAUGUCAGCUGUUCCACGUGCAUAAAAACCGGUUUACACAUAGUGUACAAGAGGAAGGAUGAUGAAAAACAUCUGGGGGAUUACGAAAUAAUGGAGACGGAUGAGGACGAAAAACCAGAAACAUUUUCAACCCCAGAGAAUAAAACUCAUUCAAGGAAGAAGCGUCAAGCUCCGUUCAUGAUUUUUCCGGAAAUUCUGGUCAUCGUGGACUACGAUGGAUACAGGCUGCACGGUGAAGACAAUAUUGCUAUUAAACGCUAUGUUAUUUCCUUCUGGAAUGGUGUAGACCUGAGAUAUAAACUGCUGCAGGGACCUAGUGUUAAAAUAUCUAUAGCUGGGAUAAUUAUAUCCAGGGGUCGAGAUGCUACUCCGUAUCUCGAGCGGAAUCGAGUUGGCCGGGAUGCGAUUGAUGCCGCGUCUGCGCUCACGGAUAUGGGGAAAUAUCUGUUCUUAGAACGUCGUCUUCCUGUUUACGAUAUUGCAGUCGCCAUUACAAAACUUGACAUGUGCAGGCGGAAGACCCGGCACGGUGACUGUAACCGAGGAACAGCUGGGUUUGCCUACGUGGGUGGAGCCUGUGUUGUUAACAAGAGAUUAGAGAAGGUGAACAGUGUAGCUAUAGUGGAGGAUACAGGGGGAUUCUCAGGAAUUAUUGUUGCAGCUCAUGAACUUGGACACUUACUUGGAGCUGUUCAUGAUGGUUCUCCUCCCCCCUCCUACCUAGGAGGUCCAGGAGCUGUUAAAUGCAGAUGGGAGGAUGGUUACAUCAUGAGUGAUCUCCGUCACACCAGUAAAGGGUUUAAGUGGAGCUACUGCACGGUCAAUCAAUUCCAUCAUUUUCUCAAUGGAGAAACUGCCACCUGCAUGUACAAUUCCCCUCACGAAGAUGAAAGCCUGCCACGUGUUCUCCCGGGAAAACUGCUUUCUCUUGAUGCACAAUGCCGCAAGGAUCGAGGAACAUCUGCCUGUUUUAAAGACGACCGCGUGUGCGCUCAGUUGUUCUGUUUUGAUGCCGGGUCUGGAUACUGUGUAUCAUAUCGACCUGCAGCAGAAGGUUCACGCUGUGGUGACAAUCAGAUGUGUUUGAACGGCAAAUGUAUAUCUGAAAAUGAGAACGCAAUCGACUACGGAGAUGCCUUCCUCCGAAGAACUGGAACAGCAAUUAGUACAACCUUUGAGGAAGUGCCUGACAAGCAUAGGUUCAGAAAUCAUGGACAUAGAGUCAUCCGAGCCUAGCCUUCAUCUUCUCUAUACUUCCUUUAACCAUGAAACACUAACCCUGCAUGUUAUGAUCUUGCUGUUCUUUCUUCUUUGUGAUUGACUGGGAUCUUCCUUCCUCCCAACCUUCUCCUAC